GAUGAACGCUGGCGGCGUGCCUAAUACAUGCAAGUCGAGCGAACGGACGAUAAGCUUGCUUCUCUGAUGUUAGCGGAAGACGGGUGAGUAACACGUGUAUCACCUACCUAUAAGACUGGGAUAACUUCGGGACACCGGAUCUAAUACCGUAUAAUAUUUUGCACCGCAUGGUUCAAAAGUGAAAGACGGUCUUGCGGUCACUUAUAGAUGGAUCUGGGCUGCAUUAGAUGGUUGUUAAGUUAACGGCUUACCAAGGCAACGAUGCAUAGACGAACUGUGAGAGUGGUAGGCCACACUGGAAGGGAGACGCGCUCCAUAGUCCUGCGGUAGGGAGCAGUAGGGAAUCUUCCGCAAUGGGCGAGAGUAUGGCGGAGCAGGGCCGAGUGAGAUAUGACGAUCUUCGGAUCGUGAAACUCUGUUAUUGGUGGAAAACAGAUGUGUAAGUAACUGUGGAGAUAUUGACGGUAACUGGUCAGAAAGCCACGGCUAACUACGUG
RNAcentral lists this ribosomal RNA (497 nucleotides) under uncultured bacterium. RNAcentral's name for it is "partial 16S ribosomal RNA". It matches the Rfam family "Bacterial small subunit ribosomal RNA", at positions 28 to 507 of the family's 1533-position model. The record is from RNAcentral.